GAUCUUCGGAUCUAGUGGCGCACGGGUGCGUAACGCGUGGGAAUCUGCCCUUGGGUUCGGAAUAACUUCUGGAAACGGAAGCUAAUACCGGAUGAUGACGUAAGUCCAAAGAUUUAUCGCCCAAGGAUGAGCCCGCGUAGGAUUAGCUAGUUGGUGGGGUAAAGGCCCACCAAGGCGACGAUCCUUAGCUGGUCUGAGAGGAUGAUCAGCCACACUGGGACUGAGACACGGCCCAGACUCCUACGGGAGGCAGCAGUAGGGAAUAUUGGACAAUGGGCGAAAGCCUGAUCCAGCAAUGCCGCGUGAGUGAUGAAGGCCUUAGGGUUGUAAAGCUCUUUUACCCGGGAUGAUAAUGACAGUACCGGGAGAAUAAGCUCCGGCUAACUCCGUGCCAGCAGCCGCGGUAAUACGGAGGGAGCUAGCGUUGUUCGGAAUUACUGGGCGUAAAGCGCACGUAGGCGGCUAUUCAAGUCAGAGGUGAAAGCCCGGGGCUCAACCCCGGAACUGCCUUUGAAACUAGAUAGCUUGAAUCCAGGAGAGGUGAGUGGAAUUCCGAGUGUAGAGGUGAAAUUCGUAGAUAUUCGGAAGAACACCAGUGGCGAAGGCGGCUCACUGGACUGGUAUUGACGCUGAGGUGCGAAAGC
Molecule: ribosomal RNA, 644 nt
Filed under: Sphingomonas sp. L28
Lineage: Bacteria; Pseudomonadati; Pseudomonadota; Alphaproteobacteria; Sphingomonadales; Sphingomonadaceae
Description: bacterial SSU rRNA
Rfam family: Bacterial small subunit ribosomal RNA
Source: RNAcentral